RNAcentral lists this ribosomal RNA (504 nucleotides) under uncultured Gammaproteobacteria bacterium. RNAcentral describes it as "bacterial SSU rRNA". It matches the Rfam family "Bacterial small subunit ribosomal RNA", at positions 382 to 902 of the family's 1533-position model. The record is from RNAcentral. Lineage: Bacteria; Pseudomonadati; Pseudomonadota; Gammaproteobacteria.
CCUGAUCCAGCCUACCGCGUGUAGUGACGAAUGCCUGUCGGGUUGUAAAGCACUUUCGUUAGGGACGAAACUGACGGUACCUAAAGAAGAAGCACCGGCUAACUCCGUGCCAGCAGCCGCGGUAAUACGGAGGGUGCAAGCGUUAAUCGGAAUUACUGGGCGUAAAGCGCGCGUAGGCGGCUUAUUAAGUCAGAUGUGAAAUCCCUGGGCUCAACCUGGGAAUGGCCUCUGAUACUGGUAGGCUAGAAUUUGUGAGAGGGAAGUGGAAUUUCCGGUGUAGCGGUGAAAUGCAUAGAGAUCGGAAGGAACAUCAGUGGCGAAGGCGACUUCCUGGCACGAAAUUGACGCUGAGGUGCGAAAGCGUGGGUAGCAAACAGGAUUAGAUACCCUGGUAGUCCACGCGGUAAACGAUGUCAACUAGCCGUUGGUAGCGACUUAGCUAUCAGUGGUGACGCUAACGCAUUAAGUUGACCGCCUGGGAGUACGCCGGCAACGGUAAAACUC